This 200-nucleotide long non-coding RNA is filed under the name Lathyrus oleraceus (garden pea). Its description in RNAcentral is "Pisum sativum (pea) long non-coding RNA (PSAT_LNC006474)". Lineage: Eukaryota; Viridiplantae; Streptophyta; Magnoliopsida; Fabales; Fabaceae. The record is from RNAcentral.
CGAUUUGUAGACGAUGAGAAGGAUGUUGUGAAGAGCGAUGGAAAAAGAUUCGUGACCUUUUGAUUUCGAGUGAGAGAGAGCGCUCUUCUCGAGUGGUUUUUUUUUGUUUUUGCUUGAAUGACCAAUGAGGGAGAGAUGAGUGAGGGAGAGGAAAUGGGACCCAUCCCUUUUUAUUUUUCAGCUUUUUCCUUUUAUUUCUU